Molecule: ribosomal RNA, 253 nt
Filed under: uncultured bacterium
Lineage: Bacteria
Description: partial 16S ribosomal RNA
Rfam family: Bacterial small subunit ribosomal RNA
Source: RNAcentral
AACGUAGGAGACAAAGGUUAUCCGGGGUUACUGGGCGUAAAGGGCGUGUAGGCGGUUAGUUAAGUCUGGCGUGAAAGCUCUCGGCUAAACCGGGAGAGGUCGUUGGAUACUGGCUGACUAGAGGACGGUAGAGGCGUGUGGAAUUCCGGGUGUAGUGGUGAAAUGCGUAGAGAUCCGGAGGAACACCAGUGGCGAAGGCGACACGCUGGGCCGUACCUGACGCUAAAGCGCGACAGCAUGGGGAGCAAACGGG